This 440-nucleotide ribosomal RNA is filed under the name uncultured bacterium. RNAcentral's name for it is "partial 16S ribosomal RNA". It matches the Rfam family "Bacterial small subunit ribosomal RNA", at positions 338 to 795 of the family's 1533-position model. The record is from RNAcentral.
CCUACGGGCGGCAGCAGUGGGGAAUAUUGCACAAUGGGGGAAACCCUGAUGCAGCGACGCCGCGUGAGUGAAGAAGUAUUUCGGUAUGUAAAGCUCUAUCAGCAGGGAAGAAAAUGACGGUACCUGAUUAAGAAGCCCCGGCUAACUACGUGCCAGCAGCCGCGGUAAUACGUAGGGGGCCAGCGUUAUCAGGAUUUACUGGGUGGAAAGGGAGCGUAGACGGCAGCACCAGUCUGGAGUGAAAUGCCGGGGCUUAACCCCGGAACUGCUUUGGAAACUGUGCAGCUAGAGUGCAGGAGAGGUAAGUGGAAUUCGUAGUGUAGCGGUGAAAUGCGUAGAUAUUAGGAGGAACACCAGUGGCGAAGGCGGCUUACUGGACUGUAACUGACGUUGAGGCUCGAAAGCGUGGGGAGCAAACAGGAUUAGAUACCCUGGUAGUC